Molecule: non-coding RNA, 2545 nt
Organism: Anolis sagrei ordinatus
Lineage: Eukaryota; Metazoa; Chordata; Lepidosauria; Squamata; Anolidae
Source: RefSeq, a predicted model, not a curated record
CCCAGAGGGAAGAGGGAAGAAACUUCUUCUUUGGCCAGUUGCCAUAAGACACUUCUUUCAAGUCUGCUGUUGUCUGCACAGGUUGCGUACACAUCUCAAAGCCACAUCCGUCAUUGCAAAGCCACGUCUCUGCCUCUCCCCUCUUUAGUUCAAUUCUGACAAUAGUUUUCUGCUGCAGCUGGAUUUCCAUUGGGUGCAGAUGUUGCUAAUGGCAGCUUAAGCACGGAUGGGCAGAUAACAUAUGGAAAGCAACAUGUUGCCAUAUGGUCCCUUUAGCCUUUCACCUCCAAGAAUAUCAAUCAAAGAUAUUCUGGGGGGAAAUUUAAUGACUCCGAACAAGAAGAUGAAUUGCUUGAUACAAUUUAUAUUCCUUGACCUGAGACUUUAGGAGACAGGAAGUGGAUCUUGCAGUCUGUCUAGUAAGAAUUGUGGGCUAAAAUGCGGGAAAGGCUUCAGAUAUUGUAAACAUCUAUUUGUCAGCUGGGAUCCUGGGAACUGUCAAAGAUGUCACAUGGCCUAGUCCCUCAUAAUAUAACUUGACAGUACAAAGGAUGGUUAUAUGAAUGUAUCUAUACACAUCUUAUUAACAUGUUAUUGACAUCCCAUUCUUAUUAUCCCUCUGUUUAGACACUGCAGUUUUCGGUGUUCCCUAUAAAGGGAGAGAACAAGAAAAGUAUAACAGUACAUAAUUUAGAAAAUUGAAUAAAUUUUAGCUAAUACCUUUCUUGUGCACUCAUCAAUACUUACAUUUUCCGAAUGUAUAUUUAUCUUUUCUUUCAGUGACAAAAAUGUUGCAUCUGUCCUUGCAUACAGAAAAGCCAUAUAUACAUCAUUGAGUCGUCUUAUAUAUUUAUACUGGUUUUAAAUAAUGUCAUGUAAUUGUAUAUGAAUUUGCAAAAAGAGGUUUACAGUAUGAAAUGUAUGUCUGCAUGUCAGUGAGGUGGAUUUGUUCAUCCCCAAAUCUAUUUUGCUAUAUAAAAAUAUUUGGAGUCAGAUCUAAAACCUUUUCUAUCAUACUUUAGAAUUAACACUCCAUUACUUAUAGCAUCCCUGAAGUGUAUAUUUUUGUUGUUCUUAUCUGUAUCCGCUUCUGUGUAUUUAAGUACAUUAGGAAGAAAGGUAAGUCAUCAUUCAUGAAAGGAAGAUUCUGCAGAGCUCAAAAUCCAUGGAAAGGAUUAUUACGUGCCUCUGUUCGGUGGAGUUUUAGGAGGAGCAAUUAUUUGUGAUUUCUGUCUUAAUAUACUAUCUAAAAGAGUAGGGAUAUUUUAAGAAGAUACAAGUCAUUUGCUACUCCACUUUUUUUCGAUUUGUAUUUUGAAAGGACAAGGCUCUGCUUCAAUACAUAUACUUGUCAUUUUUUCCCCAGAAAUUCAACCUGUUCACUUAUUAUAAGGAAGAGGAUUAAAUUUAGUUACCCUUUCAGGAUAUUAGACUGUGCCAAACAGGAUAUUCAUACUUAGUAUAAUACAUGUCUGCAAUAAGUAGCCAAUGUGAUUUAGGGAAAUAGGAAUGCUGAAUUCUCAUACUGAGAACUGCUAAUCUUAGUAUUCAAAACUAUUUUCAGUUUCAGACCCAGGGGUCUGGCUUUAGUAGGAUAACAGACAAAGCUAUAUUUCUAGCAUGUAAUGAGGCAGGCUUUGAGAGUACUGUACUAUUUUGUAUUGCAGCAGCUACACUAUCAAAAUAAAAGCAGUGUCAGUUCAUUCCAAGUUUGUAUUGUCUACAUUAAGAACUAUGAAAAUAAUCAUUUACUAUACAGAAAUGUAAAAAUGAAAGCAGUAGUGCCUGAUCCUAAUUGAAUUAGUUUUGGAAGCAUAUCAUGCUAUAAAUCCAGGUGCUAAUCCUAACUAAAGUAAACCCAUUAAAUCAUUGAGAUUUACAUAAUUGGUGAUCUAACAUUUAGCAGUUGAAUCAUUGGGUCUAACCUUGGUGGAACUUGUGGUUUAAAUUAAGACAAUACAAUUGUCCCUCUGUAUCCAUGGAUUCAGCCAUACACAACUUGAAAAUAUUUUGUUAAAAAUAAAACGAUCAAACCUUUUUUGACCAUUUGAUAUAUGGUGCACCAAGUAAUUAUUUAUAGAACGGGACUUGAGCACCCAAGAAUUUGGCGAUCUACAUAAGAUCCUGGAACCAAAUCCCUAUGGAUACCAAGGGCCCACCAUAUGUGCAGAUUUACCAUCAAAGUUUCUUUGCCAACUUUAAAGGGCCAGUGAUUACUUGUUAAAAUACAGCCAUGUGCAAUGGUAAUACGACGUGUUCUUCUCAAUUGGAGCUAUCUGCAUGAGGGAGGUAUCUACAUCAGCUAUGGGUUUCAAUCAAUCUCAAUUGUACCUUCUUUUCUAUCGAGCAUCCUUCUGAAGUAUGCUUUGCUAUGGAGCAGAAGCCAUUAGACUAAUUACAAAUAAGUGCAGUGUAAUAUACAGUUUAGCUAAUGAAAUACACAGCAUAGUUGUCACUCAUCCAUAGCUUGGUUCAAAAUGUAGGAGUCACUUUGAGUAAAGUUCUGCAACUAAUUUGGAACCAAUAAAAUGCUUUUUUUUAAAAG